GAAAGCCUGACGGAGCAAGACCGCGUGCGGGAAGAAGGUCUGUGGAUUGUAAACCGCUUUUGAUAGGGAAGAUGAUGACGGUACCUAUCGAAUCAGCCUCGGCUAACUCCGUGCCAGCAGCCGCGGUAAUACGGAGGAGGCAAGCGUUAUCCGGAAUUAUUGGGCGUAAAGCGUCCGCAGGUGGUUUGUCAAGUCUGCUGUCAAAGCGCGGAGCUUAACUCCGUAAAGGCAGUGGAAACUGACAGGCUAGAGUGCGAUAGGGGCAGGGGGAAUUCCCAGUGUAGCGGUGAAAUGCGUAGGUAUUGGGAAGAACAUCGGGGCGAAAGCG
This 328-nucleotide ribosomal RNA is filed under the name uncultured cyanobacterium. Its description in RNAcentral is "bacterial SSU rRNA". It matches the Rfam family "Bacterial small subunit ribosomal RNA", at positions 377 to 723 of the family's 1533-position model. The record is from RNAcentral. Lineage: Bacteria; Bacillati; Cyanobacteriota.